AGGGUUUAACCCCCUCCCCUACUA
RNAcentral lists this transfer RNA (24 nucleotides) under Metriopelia aymara. Its description in RNAcentral is "partial tRNA-Met". Lineage: Eukaryota; Metazoa; Chordata; Aves; Columbiformes; Columbidae. The record is from RNAcentral.